GCUCACUGCUAUCUCUGCAGUUCAGUUCAGACACACGCAAGCUCAGCUUGAGCCACGCUCAGUAUGACACUUUGUGAAAGCUUCAGAAUGCAAGAAUUUCUUAAACUGAUCAUCCUUCCACCCAAAAACUGCUGCCUAUGAUUAAAUAGUUGUGAUUGUAUUAAGUGAACUGAAAAUGAAAUUCCUUGAGAACUGAACAUUUCUGAACUGUGAGUACUAAAAAGUACAGUGGAAGAAAAGUUGCUCUGCCCAGAAAAAAAAACCUGGUUUCUGCCGGAAAAGUGGAACUGCAGUUCAAGCUCCAGCUUCCAGCACUUGACAACUUGGACAAUUGCUUUGGGAACAUUUCUCUUCAAAAGGCAUAUCA
Molecule: non-coding RNA, 367 nt
Organism: Sturnus vulgaris (Common starling)
Lineage: Eukaryota; Metazoa; Chordata; Aves; Passeriformes; Sturnidae
Source: RefSeq, a predicted model, not a curated record